RNAcentral lists this ribosomal RNA (496 nucleotides) under uncultured bacterium. Its description in RNAcentral is "partial 16S ribosomal RNA". It matches the Rfam family "Bacterial small subunit ribosomal RNA", at positions 28 to 506 of the family's 1533-position model. The record is from RNAcentral.
GAUGAACGCUGGCGGCGUGCCUAAUACAUGCAAGUCGAGCGAACGGACGAGAAGCUUGCUUCUCUGAUGUUAGCGGCGGACGGGUGAGUAACACGUGGAUAACCUACCUAUAAGACUGGGAUAACUUCGGGAAACCGGAGCUAAUACCGGAUAAUAUUUUGAACCGCAUGGUUCAAAAGUGAAAGACGGUCUUGCUGUCACUUAUAGAUGGAUCCGCGCUGCAUUAGCUAGUUGGUAAGGUAAAGGCUUACCAAGGCAACGAUGAAUAGCCGACCUGAGAGGGCACUCGUCAACAUGAGAGUUAAGAUGCGGGACAGACACAGACGAGAGGCAGAAGGUAGAAUCUAUCGGAAAGGGGCGAAGCCAUGGAGGAAGACGGAGGGCGGAGACGGCGAGUAUUUCGAAUGGGAAAACUCCGUUAUUAGGAAAAGUUAUAAUGGUAAUAAAAUGUCCAAUCUUAGCCGGAACGAAGCCAAAAAGCCACGGCUAAUGCGGU